UACGUAGGGGGCAAGCGUUGUCCGGAAUCAUUGGGCGUAAAGCGCGUGUAGGCGGCCCGGUAAGUCCGCUGUGAAAGUCGGGGGCUCAACCCUCGAAUGCCGGUGGAUACUGUCGGGCUAGAGUGCGGAAGAGGCGAGUGGAAUUCCUGGUGUAGCGGUGAAAUGCGCAGAUAUCAGGAGGAACACCAAUUGCGAAGGCAGCUCGCUGGGACGUUACUGACGCUGAGACGCGGAAGCGUGGGGAGCAAACAGG
This 253-nucleotide ribosomal RNA is filed under the name uncultured bacterium. RNAcentral's name for it is "partial 16S ribosomal RNA". It matches the Rfam family "Bacterial small subunit ribosomal RNA", at positions 524 to 776 of the family's 1533-position model. The record is from RNAcentral.